This 253-nucleotide ribosomal RNA is filed under the name uncultured bacterium. RNAcentral describes it as "partial 16S ribosomal RNA". It matches the Rfam family "Bacterial small subunit ribosomal RNA", at positions 524 to 776 of the family's 1533-position model. The record is from RNAcentral.
UACGUAGGGUGCAAGCGUUGUCCGGAAUUAUUGGGCGUAAAGAGCUCGUAGGCGGUUUGUCGCGUCUGCUGUGAAAACUCGAGGCUCAACCUCGGGCUUGCAGUGGGUACGGGCAGACUAGAGUGCGGUAGGGGUGACUGGAAUUCCUGGUGUAGCGGUGGAAUGCGCAGAUAUCAGGAGGAACACCGGUGGCGAAGGCGCCACUCUGGGCCGAAACUGACGCUGAGGAGCGAAAGCGUGGGUAGCAAACAGG